RNAcentral lists this ribosomal RNA (460 nucleotides) under uncultured bacterium. RNAcentral's name for it is "partial 16S ribosomal RNA". It matches the Rfam family "Bacterial small subunit ribosomal RNA", at positions 338 to 795 of the family's 1533-position model. The record is from RNAcentral.
CCUACGGGUGGCAGCAGUGAGGAAUAUUGGUCAGUGGGCGCGAGCCUGAACCAGCCAAGUAGCGUGAAGGAUGACUGCCCUAUGGGUUGUAAACUUCUUUUAUAGGGGAGUAAAGUGCAGUAUGUAUACUGCUUUGCAUGUACCUUAUGAAUAAGGAUCGGCUAACUCCGUUCCAGCAGCCGCGGUACUACGGAGGAUUCGAGCGUUAUCUGGAUUUAUUGGGGUUAAAGGGUGCGUAGGCGGGUUGUUAAGUCAGUUGGGAAAGUUUGGGGAUCAACCGUGAAAUUGCCGGUGAUACUGGCAUCCUUGAGUGCGGUAGAGGUAGGCGGAAUUCGUGGUGUAGCGGUGAAAUGCUUAGAUAUCACGAAGAACUCCGAUUGCGAAGGCAGCCUGCUGGCGUGUAACUGACGCUGAUGCUCGAAAGUGUGGGUAUCAAACAGGAUUAGAUACCCCUGUAGUC